RNAcentral lists this ribosomal RNA (392 nucleotides) under uncultured bacterium. RNAcentral describes it as "partial 16S ribosomal RNA". It matches the Rfam family "Bacterial small subunit ribosomal RNA", at positions 523 to 918 of the family's 1533-position model. The record is from RNAcentral.
AUACGGAGGAUCCGAGCGUUAUCCGGAUUUAUUGGGUUUAAAGGGUGCGCAGGCGGCCAUUUAAGUCAGCGGUUAAAUCGAGGGGCUCAACCCCAUUCUGCCGUUGAUACUGGGUGGCUUGAUUGCGGUCGAGGUUGGCGGAAUUCGUUGUGUAGCGGUGAAAUGCAUAGAUAUGACGAAGAACACCGAUUGCGUAGGCAGCUGACCAGACCGCAAAUGACGCUCAUGCACGAAAGUGCGGGGAUCGAACAGGAUUAGAUACCCUGGUAGUCCGCACAGUAAACGACGAAUACUUGUUUUCGGCGAUAUAAUGUCGGAGGCAAAGCGAAAGCGAUAAGUAUUCCACCUGGGGAGUACGCCGGCAACGGUGAAACUCAAAGGAAUUGACGGGG